GAUGAACGCUGGCGGCGUGCUUAACACAUGCAAGUCGAACGAAGCGACUGUGAUUGAGACUUCGGUUGAUUGACCAGUUGACUUAGUGGCGGACGGGUGAGUAACGCGUGGGUAACCUGCCUUACACAGGGGGAUAACAGUUAGAAAUGACUGCUAAUACCGCAUAACCCGAUAGGGCCGCAUGGCCCGGACGGAAAAGAUUUAUCGCUUCUUGAUGGACUCGCGUCUGAUUAGAUAGUUGGUGAGGUAACGGCUCACCAAGUCGACGAUCAGUAGCCGGACUGAGAGGUUGAACGGCCACAUUGGGACUGAGACACGGCCCAGACUCCUACGGGAGGCAGCAGUGGGGAAUAUUGCGCAAUGGGGGCAACCCUGACGCAGCAACGCCGCGUGAAGGAUGAAGGUCUUCGGGAUUGUAAACUUUGUCUUUGGUGAAGAUAAUGACGGUAGCCAAGGAGGAAGCCACGGCUAACUACGUG
RNAcentral lists this ribosomal RNA (479 nucleotides) under uncultured bacterium. RNAcentral's name for it is "bacterial SSU rRNA". It matches the Rfam family "Bacterial small subunit ribosomal RNA", at positions 28 to 507 of the family's 1533-position model. The record is from RNAcentral.